This is a long non-coding RNA of Dendrobium catenatum, 852 nucleotides long. RefSeq lists it as uncharacterized. Lineage: Eukaryota; Viridiplantae; Streptophyta; Magnoliopsida; Asparagales; Orchidaceae. The transcript is spliced from 3 exons. The record is from RefSeq and is a predicted model, not a curated record.
AUAGUUAAAUUUAAUGCUUAUUUAGCAGAACCAACACGGAGAAGGCGGAGGCCAUAUUUCUAUCCUAGAAUUCCAUUCUACAGUUUCUUAAAUUGGAGCACAUAUUGAGGCUUAGUUUGGGACGGCUUUCUUCCUGCUUCAUGAAGUAACUUUUUAGUACAAAAAUUAAAAUUUUUUAAUUAAAAAGCUACUUUAAGAAACAGAAAAAACUGUCACAAAUGAAGCCUGAGUUGAUUUGAUUAAAUGGCAGAAUGGCUUCACAAUUCACAGCUUCUAAGCCCUGCUUUUUGCCGGUUUCCAAGAUAGGGAAGACAAGUGAAACUGGCAUUGCCCUGACAGCAGGGAUCACUAUUUUUACUGCAGCAAUAGGCAUCUUAUCCCAAUACGAAAGGUCGCUUGAGGAGAAUUGUAUAUUGUAAUGUUAUACAUAGUUGAUCAAGUUGCUGCUAUCAAGGGAUUCAAGUGGUUGAAAACUUGGACCCUAACUCGAGCUGUCGACAAUCCAGUUGACCCGACCCGAUACAAUAACCUAUUUUGAUGAGGAUGGAGAAGGUAAAACGAGCAUUAAGCAAGGCAGCAACGACAUAAACCGAAAAACUAGAACAGGAGGAGCGUGCGAGACAAUGAGAGUGGGGGAUGAGAUGCAAUUGCAAUAUUGUACAUUGCAAAUGUUUUAACCAAUUGUGAUGGAUUUGCAAUUUGUCGAGUUAAAAAUAGAUUGGAAUAUUGAAUAUCUCAGUGAACUAACUUAUUUCCAUAUGUUAGUAAGAAUAGUCCUUUAUGAUCACACAAUACAACUGCUAUACCCUCCACGUUAUACUCCAAUCUGUCGAAUGGGGAUUCCAAUUUUUG